GAUCCUGGCUCAGGAUGAACGCUAGCUACAGGCUUAACACAUGCAAGUCGAGGGGCAGCAUGGUCUUAGCUUGCUAAGGCCGAUGGCGACCGGNGCACGGGUGAGUAACACGUAUCCAACCUGCCGUCUACUCUUGGACAGCCUUCUGAAAGGAAGAUUAAUACAAGAUGGCAUCAUGAGUUCACAUGUUUACACAUGUAAAGUUAAAGGUUCGUUACCGGUAGACGUAGGUGGGGUA
RNAcentral lists this ribosomal RNA (238 nucleotides) under uncultured bacterium. Its description in RNAcentral is "partial 16S ribosomal RNA". It matches the Rfam family "Bacterial small subunit ribosomal RNA", at positions 15 to 233 of the family's 1533-position model. The record is from RNAcentral.